This 1302-nucleotide ribosomal RNA is filed under the name cf. Pseudicyema truncatum EM-2019. Its description in RNAcentral is "SSU rRNA". It matches the Rfam family "Eukaryotic small subunit ribosomal RNA", at positions 275 to 1677 of the family's 1831-position model. The record is from RNAcentral. Lineage: Eukaryota; Metazoa; Dicyemida; Rhombozoa; Dicyemidae.
GGCAGUGCCGGUGACAUAUCAAUUAGAUGUCCGCCCCAUCAAUUGUUGACGGUAAGGUAGUGGCUUACCGUGGUUACAACGGGUAACGGGGAAUCAGGGUUCGAUUCCGGAGAGGGAGCAUGAGAAAUGGCUGCCAGAUCUAUGGAUUGCAGCAGGUGCGAAAAUUAUCCACUUUUGGCAUAAAGAGAUAGUGAUGAUAAAUAACGGAUCUGGGCAUUUGUUCAGAGAUCGUAAUGAAAUAAUCGUAAAAGCUUUAAUGAACGCAAUUGGAGGGCAAGUCUGGUGCCAGCAGCCGCGGCAAUUCCAGUUCCAAUAGUGUAUACUAAAGUUGCUGCAGUUGAAAAGCUCGUAGUUGGAUCUCGGCUUGCUAGCGCGCGAGGCGUGUGAGUAGGCCUUUGCUGUAGUUGAGUGCUACGGCUUUACCUUGAACAAAAUAGAGUGCUUAAGGCAAGCAUUCUGCUUGAAUAUCUCAGCAUGGAAUAAUAGAAAAAGACUUUUCUGUUGGUUUACCAGUAGUAAAAGUAAUGAUUAACAGAGACAGACGGGGGCAUUCGUAUCGCACCGCUAGAGGUGAAAUUCGUAGAUCGGUGCGGGACGAACUACAGCGAAAGCAUUUGCCAAGGAUGUUUUCAUUAAUCAAGAACGAAAGUUGGAGUAUCGAAGUCGAUUAGAUCUCGUCGUAGUUCCAACUAUAAACGAUGCCAACUAGCACUCCGCUAAUAAGUAUUAGUACGUUAGCGGGUUGCUUCCGGGAAACCAAAGUCUUUGGGCUCCGGGGGAAGUAUGGUUGCAAAGCUGAAACUUAAAGGAAUUGACGGAAGGGCACCACCAGGAGUGGAGCCUGCGGCUCAAUUUGACUCAACACAGAAAAACUCACCCGGGCCGAACACAGUAAGGAUUGACAGACUGAUAGCUUUUUCUUGAUACUGUGGGUAGUGGUGCAUGGCCGUUGUUGGUUGGUGGAGUGAUCUGUCUGGUUAAUUCCGAUAACGAACGAGACUCAGGCCUACUUACUAGUUGUUCGAUUGCUGGUCGAUCAACUUCUUAGAGGGAUCAGUGUUUAAAACACUUGAAAAUGAGCAAUAACAGGUCUGUGAUUGCCCUUAGACGUUCGGGGCUGCACGCGCGCUACAAUGGAGAAAGCAGUGGGUGUCUUGCUUGGCAAAGCAAGCUGAGCCUUAAAAUUUCUUCGUGACAGGGAUCGAGGCUUGUAAUUAUUCCUCGUGCACAAGGAAUUCCUAGUAAUCGCAGGUCAUUAGCCUGCAAUGAUUACGUCCCUGCCCUUUGUACACACCGCCCGUC